UAGCUCAGCUGGGAGAGCACCUGCUUUGCAAGCAGGAGGUCAUCGGUUCGAUCCCGUUUGCCUCCA
RNAcentral lists this transfer RNA (66 nucleotides) under Lactobacillus delbrueckii. Its description in RNAcentral is "tRNA-Ala". It matches the Rfam family "tRNA". From Rfam's summary of the family: Transfer RNA (tRNA) molecules are approximately 80 nucleotides in length. Lineage: Bacteria; Bacillati; Bacillota; Bacilli; Lactobacillales; Lactobacillaceae. The record is from RNAcentral.